CCUACGAGUGGCAGCAGUGAGGAAUAUUGGUCAAUGGGCGCGAGCCUGAACCAGCCAAGUAGCGUGAAGGAUGACUGCCCUACGGGUUGUAAACUUCUUUUAUAAAGGAAUAAAGUGAGGCACGUGUGCCUUUUUGUAUGUACUUUAUGAAUAAGGAUCGGCUAACCCCGUGCCAGCAGCCGCGGUGGUACGGAGGAUCCGAGCGUUAUCCGGAUUUAUUGUGUUUAAAGGGAGCGUAGAUGGGUUGUUAAGUCAGUUGUGAAAGUUUGCGGCUCAACCGUACAAUUGAAAUUGAUACUGGCAGCCUUGAGUACAGUAGAGGUAGGCGGAAUUCGUGGUGUAGCGGUGAAAUGCUUAGAUAUCACGAAGAACUCCGAUUGCGAAGGCAGCUUACUAAACUGCCACUGACGUUGAUGCUCGAAAGUGUGGGUAUCAAACAGGAUUAGAUACCCCAGUAGUC
RNAcentral lists this ribosomal RNA (460 nucleotides) under uncultured bacterium. RNAcentral describes it as "partial 16S ribosomal RNA". It matches the Rfam family "Bacterial small subunit ribosomal RNA", at positions 338 to 795 of the family's 1533-position model. The record is from RNAcentral.